This 253-nucleotide ribosomal RNA is filed under the name uncultured bacterium. RNAcentral describes it as "partial 16S ribosomal RNA". It matches the Rfam family "Bacterial small subunit ribosomal RNA", at positions 524 to 776 of the family's 1533-position model. The record is from RNAcentral. RNAcentral also lists the same sequence under 1 other name.
UACAGAGGGUGCGAGCGUUGUUCGGAAUUAUUGGGCGUAAAGCGCGUGUAGGCGGCCAACUAAGUCGGGUGUGAAAGCCCUCAGCUCAACUGAGGAAGUGCGCCCGAGACUGGAUGGCUUGAGUGCUGGAGAGGGUGGCGGAAUUCCCCAAGUAGAGGUGAAAUUCGUAGAGAUGGGGAGGAACACCGGAGGCGAAGGCGGCCACCUGGACGGUAACUGACGCUGAGACGCGAAAGCGUGGGGAGCAAACAGG